GUGGGUGUAGCUCAGUGGUUAGAGUGCCAGGUUGUGGCCCUGGAAGCCGUGGGUUCAAGUCCCACUACCCACCCCA
RNAcentral lists this transfer RNA (76 nucleotides) under Deltaproteobacteria bacterium. RNAcentral describes it as "tRNA-His". It matches the Rfam family "tRNA". From Rfam's summary of the family: Transfer RNA (tRNA) molecules are approximately 80 nucleotides in length. Their secondary structure includes four short double-helical elements and three loops (D, anti-codon, and T loops). The record is from RNAcentral. Lineage: Bacteria; Pseudomonadati; Myxococcota; Myxococcia.